AACGCACAUUGCGCCCAUUAGUAUUCUAGUGGGCAUGCCUGUUCGAGCGUCAUUACAACCCUCAAGCGCUAUAGUGCUUGGUGUUGGGGCAUCUGCUGUAUGUAGCAAGCCCUGAAAGAUAGUGGCGAGGUCGCUGUGACCCUGAGCGUAGUAAUUUACACCUCGCUUCUGUGGUUCGCAGCGGGUUCUCAGCCGUGAAACCCCCAAAUUUUCACAAGGUUGACCUCGGAUCAGGUAGGAAUACCCGCUGAACUUAA
RNAcentral lists this unclassified non-coding RNA (257 nucleotides) under uncultured fungus. Its description in RNAcentral is "sequence contains ITS2". Lineage: Eukaryota; Fungi. The record is from RNAcentral.